UCUUGCUGGUUCUUUAAAUAGCUGUAUUUACUUAUUUUCCACUAGGUUCCAAUUGCUGAAACAAUCUCAUUUUAGUUGGCUUCCAGCUCUUCAUAAAUUGUUAAGUUGCAAAACAUCCUAGAGAAAUAUCAGAUCUAGUGACAUCAGUCUUUACUGCUUGAAAUUCUUUCACCCAAGACUCCGAGAGAUACUAAUCAUGUUUGCAAAUUCAAAUUUGGUGCUAGAUGCAGACCUGGUUUUGUUUUGUUGCUUCUUACUGUCUGAUAUUCAUUCACCUGAAAGAUACUGAUCAGGUUUGCCAAUAGAAUUUUUGUGCUAAUUGCUGACCUAAUUUGGUUUGAUUGCCUGAUAAAAGUUAAUAUACUUGGAUCAAUAUACUUUGCAUUCAAAAUGUUCUGAUUGCCUCGAGUACUGUCUACCAUAUAAAUCUUUGAUUGCUGAAGUUGGGGAUGAUAGAAUUGUAUUAUAUGGUGUAGAAUUAUAGCUACCACAGCUGGAGUUAGUCACACAUCUCGGCAUUGUUAAUUCUUUUGGAGCGCUGCAGAGUAAUCCUUAAUCUUUGCCUAUGAACGAUCAUCUUUGCAAGCUGUUCUAUUCUUGUAAUGUGUUUACAGUUUUAGUUUAGCAGAUUACAGUCAUUACGGGUUGGUUGUCUGCAUAUUGUAUACCAAGUUAUUGUAUUAUUUGUUUUUUAGGUAAGCCACCCUUUUUUUCUCUUUGCAAAAAUGCUUCAUUAUAGAGUUCUAAAGUUGAGUACUUGGUUAAUCACACGAACUCCGUGUGUUAGUACUCUAUGAUUCAAUUUCAUUUUCAGAAUGUUGGUAUGGUACAUGCUUAACUAACAAAAUGUUUUGUUACCAUGGCAACAAGCAUUUGUCCUUUGUGCCAAACAAGCAAAGAAAGUUUCAUAUUGUCCUUAUUGAAUUGUGUUGUUUCGGUCGAUAUUAAUCUUUUGGUCGAUUUAUGAGUACUGGAAAUAAUCUUUUCAUCUUUGUAGGCGAAAAUAAUCAACCAUGGUGUUUGCCCGGUGCAUAGAGUUAAAUGACAUGCAUAUAGCCCCUACAAUACAAUGGCAUGGACUCUUAGACACAACUUGAGAUAUAAUUUCUAAAUUUAAAUGUAACUAUCAAACAUUCUGCACCUCUCUUGUUUUAUUAUCAAGGGAUCAGACAAUGACUCCUAUGUAUCAAAGCCAUUUGCCCAUUUGUGUUUUGUUUCCUGA
Molecule: long non-coding RNA, 1222 nt
Organism: Panicum virgatum (switchgrass)
Lineage: Eukaryota; Viridiplantae; Streptophyta; Magnoliopsida; Poales; Poaceae
Exons: 2
Source: RefSeq, a predicted model, not a curated record